AGUGAACGCUGGCGGCGUGCUUAACACAUGCAAGUCGAACGCGAAAGGGGAGCAAUCCCCAAGUAGAGUGGCGAACGGGUGAGUAAUGUGUGGGUAAUUUGCCUUUCAGCGGGGGAGUAACCCGGGGAAACCUGAGCUAAUACCCCAUAACAUGGCUUGAUCUUCGGAUCGAGUCAUCAAACGAUGGCCUCUGCUUGCAAGCUAUCGCUGGAAGAUGAGCCCACAUCCUAUCACGCUUGUUGGUGGGGUAAUGGCCUACCAAGGCGACGACGGGUAGCCGGCCUGAGAGGGUGACCGGCCACACUGGGACUGAGACACGGCCCAGACUCCUACGGGAGGCAGCAGUGGGGAAUCUUGCGCAAUGGGCGAAAGCCUGACGCAGCGACGCCGCGUGAGGGAUGACGGCCU
Molecule: ribosomal RNA, 408 nt
Filed under: uncultured bacterium
Lineage: Bacteria
Description: bacterial SSU rRNA
Rfam family: Bacterial small subunit ribosomal RNA
Source: RNAcentral